Phanerochaete carnosa HHB-10118-sp is the source of this 84-nucleotide transfer RNA. It matches the Rfam family "tRNA". Rfam says of the family: Transfer RNA (tRNA) molecules are approximately 80 nucleotides in length. Their secondary structure includes four short double-helical elements and three loops (D, anti-codon, and T loops). Lineage: Eukaryota; Fungi; Basidiomycota; Agaricomycetes; Polyporales; Phanerochaetaceae. The record is from Rfam.
GCCCGUUUAGCUCAGUGGUAGAGCGCGCCACUUGUAUUCUCAAAUGCAAUGGUGAGGUCAGUCGUUCAAUCCGGCUAAUGGGCA